This 490-nucleotide ribosomal RNA is filed under the name uncultured bacterium. RNAcentral's name for it is "partial 16S ribosomal RNA". It matches the Rfam family "Bacterial small subunit ribosomal RNA", at positions 29 to 507 of the family's 1533-position model. The record is from RNAcentral.
GUGAACGCUGGCGGUAGGCCUAACACAUGCCAGUCGAACGGCAGCACAGUAAGAGCUUGCUCUUACGGGUGGCGAGUGGCGGACGGGUGAGGAAUACAUCGGAAUCUACUUUUUCGUGGGGGAUAACGUAGGGAACUUAAGCCAAUAACCCAUUCCGACCUAGGGUGGAAAGAGGGGACUCUUGGGCCUUUGGGGGGUGGAUGGACCGAUGUCGGAUUAGCUAGUUGGCGGGGGUAAGGCCCACCAAGGCGACGGUCCGUAGCUGGUCUGAGAGGAUGAUCAGCCACACUGGAACUGAGACACGGUCCAGACUCCUACGGGAGGCAGCAGUGGGGAAUAUUGGACAAUGGGCGCAAGCCUGAUCCAGCCAUACCGCGUGGGUGAAGAAGGCCUUCGGGUUGUAAAGCCCUUUUGUUGGGAAAGAAAAGCAGCAGGUUAAUACCCCGCUGUUCUGACGGUACCCAAAGAAUAAGCACCGGCUAACUUCGUG